This 253-nucleotide ribosomal RNA is filed under the name uncultured Eubacteriales bacterium. Its description in RNAcentral is "uncultured Clostridiales bacterium partial 16S ribosomal RNA". It matches the Rfam family "Bacterial small subunit ribosomal RNA", at positions 524 to 776 of the family's 1533-position model. Lineage: Bacteria; Bacillati; Bacillota; Clostridia; Eubacteriales. The record is from RNAcentral.
UACGUAGGGGGCAAGCGUUAUCCGGAUUUACUGGGUGUAAAGGGAGCGUAGACGGCACUGCAAGUCUGGAGUGAAAGCCCGGGGCCCAACCCCGGGACUGCUCUGGAAACUGUUAAGCUGGAGUGCGGGAGGGGCAGGCGGAAUUCCUGGUGUAGCGGUGAAAUGCGUAGAUAUUAGGAGGAACACCAGUGGCGAAGGCGGCUUACUGGACUGUAACUGACGUUGAGGCUCGAAAGCGUGGGGAGCAAACAGG